CGAACGGCUCAUUACAACAGCUAUAAUUUACUUGAUCUUGACAUCCUACUUGGAUAACUGUGGUAAUUCUAGAGCUAAUACAUGCACCAAAGCUCCAACCCGCAAGGGAAGAGCGCAUUUAUUAGAACAAAACCAUAGGGCUUCGGCCCUCAAACGCUGACUCAGAAUAACUAAGCUGAUCGCAUGGUCUUGUACCGGCGACGUGUCUUUCAAGUAUCUGCCUUAUCAACUUUCGAUGGUACUGUCAUUGACUACCAUGGUGGUGACGGGUAACGGAGGAUCAGGGUUCGACUCCGGAGAAGGGGCCUGAGAAAUGGCCACUACGUCUAAGGAUGGCAGCAGGCGCGCAAAUUACCCACUCUCAGUACAAAACGAGGAGGUAGUGACGAGAAAUAACGAGACCGUUCUCAACAGAGGCCGGUCAUCGGAAUGGGUACAAUUUAAACCCUUUAACGAGUAUCUACGAGAGGGCAAGUCUGGUGCCAGCAGCCGCGGUAAUUCCAGCUCUCGAAAUGCAUAGAAUUAUUGCUGCGGUUAAAAAGCUCGUAGUUGGAUCUGUGCUAACACGCUGGUCCAUCUUCGGAUGCGUACUAGUUGUGUUGGCUUUUCUGCAGUUUGUCGGCCUGUGCCCUUAACGGGGUGCAGUGUCCGGUGCUGCAAGUUUACUUUGAACAAAUCAGAGUGCUCUAAACAGGCGUUUCGCUUGAAUGUUCGUGCAUGGAAUAAUAGAAGAGGAUUUCGGUUCUAUUUUAUUGGUUUUAUAGACUGAGAUAAUGGUUAACAGAGACAAACGGGGGCAUUCGUAUUGCUACGUGAGAGGUGAAAUUCUUGGACCGUAGCAAGACGAACUACAGCGAAA
RNAcentral lists this ribosomal RNA (859 nucleotides) under Pratylenchus hippeastri. RNAcentral describes it as "SSU rRNA". It matches the Rfam family "Eukaryotic small subunit ribosomal RNA", at positions 90 to 950 of the family's 1831-position model. The record is from RNAcentral. Lineage: Eukaryota; Metazoa; Nematoda; Chromadorea; Rhabditida; Pratylenchidae.